GACGAACGCUGGCGGCGUGCCUAACACAUGCAAGUCGAACGGAGAUACAUUGUAGCAAUACGAUGUAUCUUAGUGGCGGACGGGUGAGUAACGCGUGAGCAACCUACCUUACAGAGGGGGAUAACACGCCGAAAGGUGUGCUAAUACCGCAUGACAUGUGGGGAUGGCAUCAUCCUUACAUCAAAGAUUUUAUCGCUGUAAGAUGGGCUCGCGUCCGAUUAGAUAGUUGGCGGGGUAAUGGCCCACCAAGUCGACGAUCGGUAGCCGGACUGAGAGGUUGAACGGCCACAUUGGGACUGAGACACGGCCCAGACUCCUACGGGAGGCAGCAGUGGGGAAUAUUGCGCAAUGGGGGAAACCCUGACGCAGCAACGCCGCGUGAAGGAAGAAGGCCUCGGUUGUAACUUUGUCUUGUGACGAUAAUGACGGUAGCCAGAGAGGAAGACCACGGCUAACUACGUGCCAGCAGCCGCGGUAAUGCUACGU
This 486-nucleotide ribosomal RNA is filed under the name uncultured bacterium. Its description in RNAcentral is "bacterial SSU rRNA". It matches the Rfam family "Bacterial small subunit ribosomal RNA", at positions 28 to 528 of the family's 1533-position model. The record is from RNAcentral.